UACGUAGGUGGCGAGCGUUGUCCGGAAUUACUGGGUGUAAAGCGCGUGUAGGCGGGAGGCCAAGUCUGCUGUGAAAUCGCCCGGCUCAACUGGGCGGGGUCGGUGGAAACUGGUCACCUGGAGGACGGUAGAGGCGAGUGGAAUUCCCGGUGUAGUGGUGAAAUGCGUAGAGAUCGGGAGGAACACCAGUGGCGAAGGCGGCUCGCUGGGCCGGCCCUGGACGCUG
This 226-nucleotide ribosomal RNA is filed under the name uncultured bacterium. RNAcentral's name for it is "partial 16S ribosomal RNA". It matches the Rfam family "Bacterial small subunit ribosomal RNA", at positions 524 to 748 of the family's 1533-position model. The record is from RNAcentral.